RNAcentral lists this long non-coding RNA (1132 nucleotides) under Homo sapiens (human). RNAcentral describes it as "non-protein coding lnc-MPHOSPH6-6:1". The record is from RNAcentral. Lineage: Eukaryota; Metazoa; Chordata; Mammalia; Primates; Hominidae.
AUGACCAAUACCAGCUAAACACACCCGCUAAGAAAAAUUAUUAAUUACUCAUUUAUUGAUCUUCCCACACCCUCUAACAUUUCUACAUGAUGAAACUUUGGCUCACUUCUUGGUACCUGCCUAAUUCUCCAGAUCAUUACGGGAUUACUUUUGGCCACGCACUAUACAUCAGACAGCUCAACUGCCUUCUCUUCAGUUGCCCAUAUCAGCCGAGAUGUAAACUCCUGCUGAAUGGUCCGCUAUUUUCAUGCUAACGGCACUUCAAUAUUUUUCAUCUGCCUCUUCUUACACAUUGGCCGAGGCUUAUACUAUGGAUCAUUUAUAUUCCUAGGAACCUGAAAUAUUGGCAUUAUCCUCCAAUUCACAACUAUAGCAACAGCAUUUAUAGGCUGUGUUCUCCCAUGAGGCCAAAUAUUAUUCUGAGGCGCUGCAGUAAUUACAAAUCUACCAUCAGCCAUCCCAUAUAUUGGAACUGACCUUAUACAAUGAAUCUGAGGCGGAUUCUCAGUUGACCAAGCCACCCUUACAUGAUUUUUGCCUUCCAUUUCAUCUUACCCUUCAUCAUUACAGCUCUAGCAACUAUUCGCCUUUUAUUUUUACAUAAAACAGGAUCUAAUAAUCCUGCAGGGGUUUCAUCAGACCCUGACAAAAUCACUUUCCAUCCCUACUAUACAACCAAAGAUAAUCUAGUUUUCAUUUUUCUCUUCCUCUUUCUAAUAACUCUAGCACUAUUUUUGCCUGACCUUCUGAACGACCCAGAUAAUUACACUUUAGCCAACCCCCUCAACACCCCACCACACAUUAAGCCAGAGUGAUACUUUGUGUUUGCAUACGCAAUCUUACGAUCCAUCCCUAACAAACUGGGAGGCGUACUGGCCCUUGUAUUCUCCAUUCUCAUUCUAGCAGCUAUUCCCAUUCUUCACAUGUCUAAACAACCAAGCACAGUAUUCAGCCAUUCAGUCAAUGCCAAUUCUGAAUGUUAGUCGCUGACCUGUUUACCCUCAGAUGAAUCGGAGGGCAGCCAGUCGAAUGCCCUUUUAUUGCCAUCGGAAACACAGCAUCUGUUAUGUACUUCUCUACCAUCCUCACCCUCAUACCACUCACUACCUUAACUGAAAAUAAACUACUUAAA